This 80-nucleotide small nucleolar RNA is filed under the name Hordeum vulgare subsp. vulgare (domesticated barley). RNAcentral describes it as "Small nucleolar RNA J33". It matches the Rfam family "Small nucleolar RNA J33". From Rfam's summary of the family: J33 is a member of the C/D class of snoRNA which contain the C (UGAUGA) and D (CUGA) box motifs. Most of the members of the box C/D family function in directing site-specific 2'-O-methylation of substrate RNAs. The record is from Rfam by way of RNAcentral. Lineage: Eukaryota; Viridiplantae; Streptophyta; Magnoliopsida; Poales; Poaceae.
CCGUGAGGGGGAUGAUGUAUUACUAUGAAGCUCUCAAGAUGCUGACUUUUCUUGAAUCUGCAUCUGACCAGCAACAGAGG